AGUGAACGCUGGCGGUAGGCCUAACACAUGCAAGUCGAACGGCAGCACAGUAAUAGCUUGCUCUUACGGGUGGCGAGUGGCGGACGUGUGAGGUAUACAUCGGAAUCUACUUUUUCGUGGGUGAUAACGUAGGGAAACUUACGCUAAUACCGCAUACGCCCUUCGGGUGAAAGCAUUGGUUCUUCGGACCUUUCGCGUUUGUUUUAGCCGAUGUCGGAUUAGCUAGUUGGCGGGGUAAUGGCCCACCAAGGCGACGAUCCGUAGCUGGUCUGAGAGGAUGAGCAGAGACACUGGAACUGAGACACGGACAAGAGUACUACGGGAGGAAGCAGUGGGGAAUAGUGGACAAUGGGCGCAAGCAUGAUCCAGCAAUACCGAGUGGGUGAAGAAGGACUUCGGGUUGUAAAGACCUUUUGUUGGGAAAGAAAAGAAGCAGGUUAAUACCCCGCUGUUGUGACGGUACCCAAAGAAUAAGCACCGGCUAACUUCGUG
This 492-nucleotide ribosomal RNA is filed under the name uncultured bacterium. RNAcentral describes it as "partial 16S ribosomal RNA". It matches the Rfam family "Bacterial small subunit ribosomal RNA", at positions 29 to 507 of the family's 1533-position model. The record is from RNAcentral.